Molecule: long non-coding RNA, 2204 nt
Organism: Alligator sinensis (Chinese alligator)
Lineage: Eukaryota; Metazoa; Chordata; Crocodylia; Alligatoridae
Exons: 5
Source: RefSeq, a predicted model, not a curated record
GCAGCCCCCGCGGAGCAGAGACCUGCCCUGCCGAAAGCUGCUCCCCCCGGCCGGUCCCAGUGCAGCCCCUCUCCCAGAGCCAGGCGGGUCGCAGUCACCCACCAGCCGGCCCUGCUGGCGGGAGCUCCGGAGCAAUAGUAACAGCCGCGGUUCAAGUCCCAGAUACACAUCUUGUGCUAGAUCCAGCGCAGGAGGCCCCUGACUGUAUCCGCACAAACCGUGGGAUGCACCAGUAAACAGCUCUGCCGUGUGGGGCUGCGGUCACUCGGAGCAGACCCUGGGACAUAUCACGACUGAUCUACAAAUACGAAGGAGGCAUCGCAGAGCUCUGCGCCCUGCUCCUGCUCGCCCGUCGAAACGUAACGUUACAGCUGCCGCUCUGUAUCUGCUUCAGCCCUGCGAAAAAAGAGCGUGCCAAAAAAUCACGAUGUUGCUUUUUCGCUAACUCACAGAUGUUUUCCAGGAGGGAUGAAGUGGACUGCUUGGCUGGCACUUUGAAGACACAAAGAGCUAUAUCAAAAGGGUGACUUUGCAGACAAACAUAUCGAUCUAAAACCCGGGUGACACAGACUUCCUGGAAGAGAGCCCAGAAGCAUGUCUGUGUUUAAAGUCAAAUGGCUUGAGCCUUUUACCACUGAUGAAUAAAAAAUGUUUUUCUCUGCAUGCUGAAGGCUUGAGCAGAAGAAAAAAAAUGACUUGAUUUUUUUUCCGCUGGAGGUGCAGCUAGUGGCCUAGGACAACCUGGUGGGAAUUCAUUUUCUGCUCCUGGUCACUGAUGUUGGAAUCAGACAGUGCCGGGAGGUGGAGAAGAUGUGAUGGAGAAGAAUGUAGGAAGAAGGCCUGUUGCACCUAUAGACUAUGGAGCCAGCCCCGAUGAUAAACCUUGAAGCACGGCACCAAAUCCUGGCCAUCAGCCUGUGGGCAGCUCGGUUCCUGCCAGCGCUGUCCGUUCUAGACCACGGCUCGCAGCACAGAAGGCCACCCUCGCUGUGUGGACAGGGCUCCUCCAAAUCCUUGGUCUAACAAGAGUUUCUCCCACAUGUUGGGAUGUCACAAGGGAAGUUGCAAGCUUCACCUUGCUGGGUUUCCUCUCCAAAAAGGCUUCUCUGCAGGAGGGAGCCACUCUGGUCCAGUGACAUGCAUGACUGGAAGCAGCAAUGAGCAGCAGGCCUGCAUAUUCUCGUGGUUCCUCUCCACUCCACCAGUGUUAGGACUUCAGCUUCAGCUUCUUCGUUUACUUGCGUUUCUAAUUACAGAACAAAUGGAAGAAAUAGAGGCUUGGGGCUCGGUUCCGUAAGCAUUAUGUGAGUUUAGAUUAUCCAGCAUGCAAGUAACACUACAGGCACCAACGGAUGAGUGAAGAUGAGUCCGGUGAGGUCUGCACAGCAGGUUUAAGACCUGGAUCCUUUGGAGGGGGGCAGGAGGAAGAAAUGGGACGUGAGGGUGCUUUUAUUUUAAUCUUGGUGUAAAUUAGGGAUAGCUCCCCUGACACCAAUGAAAUCAUUUAUGGUCAGAGCAGUUGCCCUUGUUUCUGAACUUCGGCCAUUCAGCUUCUGCACAUUUAGUGCUCAGCUCUGAAUGGAGAAGCUUCGUUUCCUGUUCAAGAUAAUACCCUAAAUUACAUGACGAUUAUGAAAACAAAGCAUUUGACAAAGUGAGCUUCAGCCCAGAAAGCAUGUGCUUAUUUGUAUAUCUUAUAUAGUUAAUCUAUAUAGGUUCAUCUCUACCCUGCCUUCUGACUGUCUGCAGGCUAACAGGACUAACUAUCUAUGGUAAUAAAGCCAGGAGUCAGAAUUAACCCCAAGACACUAUGUCUCCAGUAGAAAGAGAACCUCAACUAUAGACUCAUUUGUCUUCAAAGUAUUUGAAAGUAAAAAGAAAAACUAAGCAGAAGAUAAAAACCUUGACCAAAUUUCAUUCCUGCACUAACGAUAAUGAUUUCCAUAGGGCAAAAUCAGCAGGGAAUUCGGCCCAACACGACUAACAACCUGGUCCCUGGUUUGUGGGAGCAAUACUUGAAACUGCAGAAUUCAUGUGUAGGACUAAUUUCACUUUAUUGAUGGACAGAAAAAUCUGGAAGAAGCUAAUACAGAAACUGUCUCCUUAGCACACCUGGAAAAUGUGCAGAGAAACUGGCCUAUGUGGUUUGGUUCUGACAAUUUCUUAUAUCAGUGUCUAUAUCCAGACUGCAUCUUUUAGACAUA